UAGUUUGAUCAUGGCUCAGCCUUUGACUUAAAAAAAUGGAGAAGUCGUAACAAGGUAGCCGUAAGUCGUAACAAGGUAACCGUAAGUCGUAACAGGGUACCGUAGAGUUUGAUCAUGGCUCAGGAAAGUCGUAACAAGGUAACCGUAAGUCGUAACAAGGUAACCGCAGAGUUUGAUCAUGGCUCAGAUAAGUCGUAACAAGGUAACCGUAAGUCGUAACGAGGUAGCCGUAGAGUUUGAUCAUGGCUCAGAAGUCGUAACAAGGUAGCCGUAAGUCGUAACAAGGUAAAUCUGAAUUCG
RNAcentral lists this ribosomal RNA (300 nucleotides) under uncultured bacterium. RNAcentral's name for it is "partial 16S ribosomal RNA". The record is from RNAcentral.